GGAAGGUACGUCCAAACGACACUAUUCUGAAGCUUCAGAGAACAACACCUUACUACAAGAGAAACCGAGCACAUAUUUGCAGUUUCUAUGUGCGGGGUGAAUGUACAAGAGGUGCUGAGUGCCCUUAUAGGCAUGAGAUGCCAGAAGCUGGGGAGUUGUCCCAGCAAAAUAUAAAAGACCGUUACUAUGGGUAAGCUCGGUUUUGGUUUUUGUUUUUAUUUUUAUAUUUUGCUAGUGAUAAAAAUUUUAAUAUUGCGAAUGACUGUUUGUCUCUAUUUCCCCCCCUAAAUAUUUGCAGGGUGAAUGAUCCAGUGGCACUAAAGCUACUUAACAAGGCUGGUGAAAUGCCUUCUUUGGAAGCGCCUGAGGAUGAAAGCAUUAAAACCCUUUAUGUGGGAGGGCUGGAUAAAAGGAUCACCGAGCAAGAUUUAAGGGAUAACUUUUAUGCCCAUGGUGAAAUUGAAUCGAUAAAGAUGGUCCUCGACAAGGCAUGCGCCUUUGUUACAUACACAACCAGAGAAGGAGCUGAAAAGGCUGCAGAAGAGCUUUCUAGCAAGCUAGUCAUAAAGGGUCUUAGGCUGAAGCUAAUGUGGGGUAAGCCCCAAGCCCCAAGGCCUGAGUCAGAAACCUCCGAUGGAUCCAGGCAGCAAGCAGCAGUGGCUCAUAGCGGAAUGUUGCCCCGGGCAGUAAUAUCUCAGCAGCAGAAUCAAUUCCAGCCAUCUGGACCUGGCAUGCACGACCAACCACCACCUAUGCAGUACUUUAAUAUCCCACCUCCACCUCAGAUGGAUAGAGCCUACUAUCCAUCAAUGGACCCUCAAAGAAUGGGUGCUCUGGUUCCGUCUCAGGACGGGGAGAACAAACCCGGAUCAGAUAAACAACAAGCACAACACUAUCCUUACCAAGGUAUGCCGCCGCCGCCACCUGGACAAUAUCCUCAUCAACAUUAUCCGCCAUAUGGGUACAUGCAACCAAUGCCACCUUAUCAACAGUAUCCACCAUACCAUUCAGCAAUGCCUCCACCUCGAGGCCCACCUCAACAUUAUCAACACCCUGGACCUCCAAGACCUUCACCACCUGUGAGUGCACCAGCUUCAACAAGCGCGCAACCACCACCAGCAUCUACUUCAUCAGGCUCUGCCCCACCACCACCACCACCGGCGCCCGUCCCAUCUGCUGCUGCAUCUGGAUCUUCUCAGCUAUGAAGGUUUUCCCGUACUGUUUGUUUUUGAUAAUGUAAGCAUAAAACUUUUUAACCCCCG
Molecule: long non-coding RNA, 1262 nt
Filed under: Gossypium raimondii (Peruvian cotton)
Lineage: Eukaryota; Viridiplantae; Streptophyta; Magnoliopsida; Malvales; Malvaceae
Description: long non-coding RNA (GRAI_LNC001777)
Source: RNAcentral